This 253-nucleotide ribosomal RNA is filed under the name uncultured bacterium. RNAcentral describes it as "partial 16S ribosomal RNA". It matches the Rfam family "Bacterial small subunit ribosomal RNA", at positions 524 to 776 of the family's 1533-position model. The record is from RNAcentral.
UACAGAGGGUGCGAGCGUUAAUCGGAAUUACUGGGCGUAAAGCGUGCGUAGACGGUUAUUUAAGUCGGGUGUGAAAGCCCCGGGCUCAACCUGGGAAUUGCAUUCGAGACUGAAUAGCUAGGGUACGGUAGAGGGAAGUGGAAUUUCCGGUGUAGCGGUGAAAUGCGUAGAUAUCGGAAGGAACAUCAGUGGCGAAAGCGAUCGACUGGACCUCUUCUGACGCUGAGGCGCGAAAGCUAGGGGAGCAAACGGG